RNAcentral lists this long non-coding RNA (2049 nucleotides) under Oryctolagus cuniculus (rabbit). Its description in RNAcentral is "lncRNA (ENSOCUG00000030594.1)". Lineage: Eukaryota; Metazoa; Chordata; Mammalia; Lagomorpha; Leporidae. The record is from RNAcentral.
CUGGGUGGGCAUUGGCCUGGCCGUUAAGCUGCGGCUUGGGAGUCCUGCGUCCCAGAUCAGAGCCUGGGUUGGAGUCCCCACUCGGCUUCCACUUCCUGCUUCCAGCUAAGGUGCACCCGGGAAGGCUCAAGUAGGCGGAUUCCUGUCACCCACGAGGGAGACUUGGGUGGACCUCUCCGCUCCUGACUUCAGCCUGACCCAAGCCCAGCUGCUGUGGGCAUUGGGGGGAGCAAACCAACAGAUGGAAGAUUCCUCCUCCCCACUAUCUUUCAAUCAAUAAAUGAAUUAAAAAGAAAAAGGAUUCACGCUGGAUAGUGCGGCUUGGCAGGUGGAGGUGAGGGGCCUGGAGCAGGGGUGGGGAUGGGACGGGACGGCAGAGCCAGGGUUCCUGAGGCCCUUCCCAGCCUCCCUCUCAGGAGCCCUGGGGUUUCGUAACCCACAUGACUCAUCUUUUCAGCAAGUGUGAGUCAUUCUAAUGGAGGUAGGGGAGCAGGGGGUGUGGUGGGAGGCCCCACCCAGAUGAACCCUCCUCCACAAGGGCUCCCUUGGGCAAGCGGAGUCUACCCCCUGGUCCCUCACCCCUGCAGGGCGCAGGCACCCCUGUGGUCCAACAUACAGCCCGGAUGCCUGCAGUCCCUGCCCAUCUGGGAGCCACGUGGCCCCAACUCAAACAGGUCGGCCUUGCAGAGGAAUGUGCCACACCUGUUGAGCAAAAGUACCAGAACCUUCAACCCAUCUGCCGGUGUCGCCUGGAGUGCCCGGCCAGCUUCCUCUUCCGCUGGGAGGAAGGACCCACUGUCACUUUCAGUGAUCCACUGGGACGGUGUGGCCUCUCGUUGUUCCAGCUCUAGAGACAGGCACCUUCCACCGUGGAAGCUUCUCUUGGUAAAACCCAGAAUAAGCACGCGUCGUCCAGGCAAAGGUGUCUUAGAUCUGAUGGAAACUGGCGGCCGCCCAGGCAGGUUGCUAUAAAGACACCUGUUGAACACUGUCCCACGCACUUGCCUCCGUGCCCCUCGUGGCUGCAUUGACAUCCCACAGAAAAGAGAGAGCAGAGUUGGUGUGUUUGUUUCUUUCCAUGAAAGUCUGUUGUGACUCUUCGGGUACGCAAAGCCUCUUUCUAAAGCAAUCCCCUGGCUGGUUUGCAUUCUCAAACAUGAUGUUUCUAUCCGGAGAACCUUGGAUGCUCCAGGCUGCCCAGCACUCAAAGGUGACAUACCUGAUGCAACUUGGCGAGCCACUCCUUAGGGCUGCCUGUGCCACCCACGGCCCGAGACACACCUCAGCGACAGGAGACGCUGACACAGACCUCUUGCUCAGCAAGUGGGCCCGAGACAGGGAGGGCCGGGGACAGACAGGCUCUGCCUUCCCAUCCCUCACCUUACCCUCCUGUUCCAGAGAACUCUUAUCAGGCUCAGCACUCUACAAGCCGGGGGGACCCCAGCCAGGCCCACUUUUCCUCUCCUUUUCACCCCCUCCCCACCCAGAUCCCCCUCUGCUUCGAAUGUGAUUUGCCCCCUGAGCAUUCAGCAUGUAGGAGCUUAGCCCCCAGGGUCUUAGACUGAGGGACUCCAGCCGCGGUUCUCGGCCAUGGACCCUUUAGAAAGAGAUCGGACUCGGGCAGGUACCUGGUGUGGAGUCAGCAGCACUGAAUCCCGGUAGCUUUAGAAGGAGAGCGACAGACACAACACCCAUGCCUGCUGCCUGUCUUUUCUCAGCCAGCAAGAGGCUGGACCAGGGAGGCCGCCUGGCCUUGGACUGCAGAACUGAGAGCCGAAAUAUCUCCCUGCUAUUGCUCCUGGGAAAGCAGCAGAAGAUGGCCCAAGUGCCUGGGCCCUAGAGCCACUGGGAGACCCGGAAGAAGCUCCUGACUCCUGGCUUUGAUUAGUCCAGCUCUAGCCGAUGCGACCAUUUGGAGACUGAACCCACAGAUGGAAGAUUCUCUCUCUCUCUCUCUCUCUCUCUCUCUCUCUCUCUCGUUCUAUCGCUCUCUCUUUCCUUCUCUCUGUAUUUCUGCCUUUAAAAUAAAAAAAUAAAAUCUUGGGGCCA